Molecule: ribosomal RNA, 246 nt
Filed under: uncultured bacterium
Lineage: Bacteria
Description: partial 16S ribosomal RNA
Rfam family: Bacterial small subunit ribosomal RNA
Source: RNAcentral
UAGGGAAUCUUCGGCAAUGGGGGCAACCCUGACCGAGCAACGCCGCGUGAGUGAAGAAGGUUUUCGGAUCGUAAAGCUCUGUUGUAGGUCAAGAACGGGUGUGAGAGUGGAAAGUUCACACUGUGACGGUAGCUUACCAGAAAGGGACGGCUAACUACGUGCCAGCAGCCGCGGUAAUACGUAGGUCCCCGAGCGUUGUCCGGAUUUAUUGGGCGUAAAGCGAGCGCAGGCGGUUUGAUAAGUCUU